CUGGGGGACACCCAUCCUUGACACGAGGAGAAAAAAGAGCUGACUCCCUUUCAAGAGACGAGAAAAUCAAGUUUUGUCUUCCCUUCCUAUUACUGUCAAACAAAAGUCACCUUCAGACUGCAGCGCGCAUGGGGUCCCUCGCUGGCAGGAAGCAGGGCCUUCCCUCGUGAAUGGAUAACUUACAACGUGUAUGUGUAUGUACCCGUCAGGAAAUGACCCACUCCGAUGACUGAGGAUGAGGAGCUCACGGGAAAUGCACACAGCCUCGUGUCUACGAUGCUGGGGUCACUGUGGAGCAAUAACACACCAAGAGCCACUUUGAUGUCAUAGAACUCUAGACCAGGGGAUGGCAAACUAUGGCCAGUCCCUAUUUGUAUAAACAAAGUUUGUUUUCUUAAUACAAACUUUUUUUAUUGUGGCAAAAUAUGUCUAAAAUCAGUGGCAUUGAGUACAUUCACGGUUGUGUAAUCGUCCCCUCUACCCACUUCCAGAAUUGUUCCAUCACCCCACACAGAACUCUGUACCACUAACC
This is a long non-coding RNA of Lemur catta (Ring-tailed lemur), 532 nucleotides long. RefSeq lists it as uncharacterized. The record is from RefSeq and is a predicted model, not a curated record. The transcript is spliced from 3 exons. Lineage: Eukaryota; Metazoa; Chordata; Mammalia; Primates; Lemuridae.